GACGAACGCUGGCGGCGUGCUUAACACAUGCAAGUCGAACGGAAAGGCCCUGCUUUUGUGGGGUGCUCGAGUGGCGAACGGGUGAGUAACACGUGAGUAACCUGCCCUUGACUUUGGGAUAACUUCAGGAAACUGGGGCUAAUACCGGAUAGGAGCUCCUGCUGCAUGGUGGGGGUUGGAAAGUUUCGGCGGUUGGGGAUGGACUCGCGGCUUAUCAGCUUGUUGGUGGGGUAGUGGCUUACCAAGGCUUUGACGGGUAGCCGGCCUGAGAGGGUGACCGGCCACAUUGGGACUGAGAGACGGCCCAGAAGCCUACGGGAGGCAGCAGUGGGGAAUAUUGCAGAAUGGGCGGAAGCCUGAUGCAGCAACGCCGCGUGCGGGAUGACGGCCUUCGGGUUGUAAACCGCUUUCGCCUGUGACGAAGCGUGAGUGACGGUAAUGGGUAAAGAAGCACCGGCUAACUACGUG
Molecule: ribosomal RNA, 468 nt
Filed under: uncultured bacterium
Lineage: Bacteria
Description: partial 16S ribosomal RNA
Rfam family: Bacterial small subunit ribosomal RNA
Source: RNAcentral